RNAcentral lists this ribosomal RNA (267 nucleotides) under uncultured bacterium. RNAcentral describes it as "partial 16S ribosomal RNA". It matches the Rfam family "Bacterial small subunit ribosomal RNA", at positions 91 to 354 of the family's 1533-position model. The record is from RNAcentral.
CGGACCGGCGCACGGGUGAGUAACACGUAUGCGACCUGCCCGUAGCAGGGGGAUAAGCGGAAGAAAUUCCGUCUAAUACCGCGUAAUAUCUUUCGGGGGCAUUCCUGAGGGAUUAAAGGAAGCGAUUCCGGCUACGGAUGGGCAUGCGGCGCAUUAGCUAGUCGGCGGGGUAACGGCCCACCGAGGCGACGAUGCGUAGGGGUUCUGAGAGGAAGGUCCCCCACACUGGUACUGAGACACGGACCAGACUCCUACGGGAGGCAGCAG